UGGCCUGGUGUAGGACACCAGGCUUUUGACCUGACGGUCGUGGGUUCCAGCCCGG
This 55-nucleotide transfer RNA is filed under the name Oxyrrhis marina. Lineage: Eukaryota; Dinophyceae; Oxyrrhinales; Oxyrrhinaceae. The record is from RNAcentral.